RNAcentral lists this ribosomal RNA (430 nucleotides) under uncultured archaeon. RNAcentral's name for it is "bacterial SSU rRNA". It matches the Rfam family "Archaeal small subunit ribosomal RNA", at positions 474 to 903 of the family's 1478-position model. The record is from RNAcentral.
UACCUGCAGCUCGAGUGGUAACCGCUAUUAUUGGGCCUAAAGCGUCCGUAGCCGGUUUGGUAAAUAUCUGGGUAAAUCGUGAGGCUUAACUUCACGAAUUUCGGAUAGACUGCCAGACUUGGGAUCGGGGGAGGUCAGAGGUACUCCAGGGGUAGCGGUGAAAUGUUGUAAUCCUUGGAGGACCACCGGUAGCGAAGGCGUCUGACUAGAACGAGUCCGACGGUGAGGGACGAAGCCCUGGGGCGCCAAACCGGAUUAGAUACCCGGGUAGUCCAGGGUGUAAACGAUGUGGGCUUUGUAUUGGAGGUCCCACGUGGGCGUCCAGUGCAGAAGAGAAGUUGUUAAGCCCACCGCCUGGGAAGUACGGUCGCAAGGCUGAAACUUAAAGGAAUUGGCGGGGGAGCACAGCAACGGGAGGAGCGUGCGGUUU